Molecule: unclassified non-coding RNA, 329 nt
Filed under: soil metagenome
Description: partial contains 5.8S ribosomal RNA, internal transcribed spacer 2, and large subunit ribosomal RNA
Rfam family: 5.8S ribosomal RNA (bases 1-120)
Source: RNAcentral
GAUGAAGAACGCAGCGAAAUGCGAUAAGUAAUGUGAAUUGCAGAAUUCAGUGAAUCAUCGAAUCUUUGAACGCGCAUUGCGCCCUCUGGUAUUCCGGGGGGCAUGCCUGUUCGAGCGUCAUUAUAACCACUCAAGCUCUCGCUUGGUAUUGGGGUUCGCGGUUCCGCGGCCCCUAAAAUCAGUGGCGGUGCCUGUCGGCUCUACGCGUAGUAAUACUCCUCGCGAUUGAGUCCGGUAGGUCUACUUGCCAGCAACCCCCAAUUUUUACAGGUUGACCUCGGAUCAGGUAGGGAUACCCGCUGAACUUAAGCAUAUCAAUAAGCGGAGGA